This is a small nuclear RNA of Panthera leo (lion), 109 nucleotides long. The record is from Ensembl. Lineage: Eukaryota; Metazoa; Chordata; Mammalia; Carnivora; Felidae.
GUGCUCACUUUGACAGCUUCCCAGGACUAAAACUGGGACCAUACAGAGAAGAUUAGCAUGGCCUCUGCACAAGGAUAACAUGCAAAUUUGUGAAACAUUUUGUAUUUUU